Molecule: long non-coding RNA, 9272 nt
Organism: Diceros bicornis minor
Lineage: Eukaryota; Metazoa; Chordata; Mammalia; Perissodactyla; Rhinocerotidae
Exons: 3
Source: RefSeq, a predicted model, not a curated record
CCUGUGACUGGGCUCCGCGUGCCGCGGGGGCGGCGGGAGAGGCACGCGGGCUCGUGCGCCGCCUCUGGUCGCUGGGCCGGGGGCCGCAGGGGGUUGGGUAGACGGGCCUGCCCUGCUCUGCUUCCUGCCCCAGGGCUAGAGCGCAGUGCCCGAACUCCUCGCGAGCGUUUCCUGCGCACCUACUACGUGCAAGACGCUGGCAAUCCAAGACGAAUAGGCCUUCGUCCCUGUCCCCGGAAAUGGGCCGGGAACAAGAGGCUGGACCUGAAGAUGGAUUGGCUAGAAGGCAAUAGCCGACUACUAGGCAGACGCGUUAGAGGCCAAGUGCUAAGAAGGUCAUUAACUCUGCCCGAGGGUAUGGAGGGAGGCUUCUAAGUGAGGUCGCCACGGGUGACCUUUCGGCUGGAUCAGCAGGAGCCGACAUAACCAGAGGAGCGACAGAAAACCCAAUCCAAACUCUGGUUUAAGCAUGAGAGAGAGAGAGAGAAUGCGUCUCUGGUGGACACAGAAAGAGUUUGACAAUACAAGCAGUAUUCGUGGAGCAGAAUCAGCUGGACUUGGUGAAUGCUUAGAUGAGUGAGGGAUAAGAAGAUUGUCCCUGAGCUAGCGUCUGUGCAAAUCUUCCUCUAUUUUGUAUAUGGGACACCGCCACAGCACGGCUGAUGAGCGGUGUGUAGGUCCACGCCCAGGAUCCAAACCCGUGAACCCUGGACAGCCGAAGCGGAGUGCUCGAACUUAACUACUAUGCCACCACGCUGCCCCAAGAUGUUGCUCAUUUCAAAAAGUCAAGAUACCUUUGUGGUGCUCACUUCGGCAGCACAUAUGCUAAAAUUGGAACGAUACAGAGAAGAUUAGCAUGGCCCCUGCGCAAGGAUGACACGCAAAUUCGUGAAGCGUUCCAUAUUUUUUGAAUAUGGUGUAAUCUAUGCAGAAAUAGAAGUAUAAUGAUGUACACCUGAAAUUUAUACAAUGUUAUAAACCAGUGUUACUGCAAUAAACAAAAAAUAAAAAAUAAAAAAUAAAGACACCUUUGUGGAUAAGAUGAAGAGAUACGAUUUGAGAUUAUUGCAAAGAAAGGUUGAUUCAAACAGUGCUGAUUAAUGGAGUGACACUAAUCUGGAGGCCUUGAGUUCUUAACACAAGCUAUACAGAUUUUUCCCCUUUUGUCCAGUCCUGAGUAAUAUUUUUAUCAAUGUUUUGAGUUGAUACUUAGCAAAUGUAAGGAAGGUGCAGAACUCAGAUCAGAAUAUGAUAGAUGACAAUAAUUAUUCAAAAUCAUUGUUUAAAAAGAGAUGACUUUUGACUGCAAUAUAUAUAAAAUAUAGUAUUGUUUUUCAGAAAAAUCAUUUGAAGAUGGCCAGGAUUUGGGAGACUUGGCUUGACAUGAUAAUGUAACAAUAAGUUACAGAUAUUCAUGCAGUGUGAGCAGCCACCAGAAAACUAGUAUAAUGUAAACUGUGUUAAUGGAAAACAGCGUUGAAGUCACAGCAGUACCAGACCUGUGCUAUUCAGCUCAGGAUUUCUGAACUUAUGUGUUCAAAGAUAGACACCACAUAAAAAGAGAUAUCACACAUAGCAAAUUAGAAUUCAUUAGGAAGAGACAUCUGAAGAGUGUGAAAACCAUGUUCUCUGAAGAAAAGAAGAGGGAAUUGGGUCUGCUUAACCUGCAGAAAAGAGAUUUGCUAAAGGUUGCUAUGCAGAGGAGAGAGUAUAUUUUUUCCAUGUUCCUCUGGAGUUCAGAUCUAAGGCCAUGGAGAAGGCUGUUACCGAGAGGAACAUUUUGGCUCAGCAUAAGAAAGGACAGUUUUGGAUAUUGGAACUGAGCCACAGUGGACAGGACUUCCUGGUGAAGUGAGCUCUACAUCAAUGGAAACAUUCAAUCCGAAAACAACGGCCACCUGUCAGGGAUGCUAUGAAAGGAACUGCUGGGGAGAAAAGGAGUCAGCAAGGAGGUGAUAACGUCCAAGGUCUUCUCUAACUUGAAGCAGGAGAGGCAAAGAAUUAUCUGUGCUGGUGGAUAAGGCAUCCAAGGCUGCUGCAGAGCCCAGCCGCCCACACGUGGCAACUGCAUUUCCUGUAGUAAACGCUGGCUUCCAUGCUGGUGGAGGUAGGAAGUGGGGGAGGAAGGAAGGCCUUGUUCCACUGCUGGGGCACGUUUUCCCGUGGAAAUAAUGUUGUGGGUCACAGUUCUCAUCCUCUCACAGUCAGCUAUAUGUGGGCUAAAUGGGCUUCUACAAGUUGGCCUGAGGACCUAACCAGUGUUUGUCACCUUGUUUCUCUGGGGAAAAUGCAUUUUCAGUUUCAAACAACUAAAUUAGAAAUCAACUUUUGGGAACAUAACUCAGUCAUACAGGGACUUUCUGUACCUUUCCUGUACUUUUCUGUACCUUCUCAGAAAUGCUGAGACCACAGAGAAUGAUGGUAUCUGUAAGUUCCAGAUAAACAACUAAACGUUAAUGAGAAGGUUACUAAUACUAAUAACCUCACUUUAUCCUCUGGGUGGUAUGAAGAGUCCAGUCCUUCAGAUUCGCUACUUGAAGAACUUGAUUGCUGGUUCAUCAGGGAUGAUUGGUCUCUGGCAACCAGCACACACCAAACAAACCCAAGAGACUGCACCUUAAACCAGAUUCCAAUCCAUUAAGAACACAAGAAAAGCUGUGCUGAGUUGGGCUAAAGAUUCAUCCUGUCUGGUAUCCUCUGACAAUGAUUGUCAACUUCUGUGUUUUGUUCAUUAUAAACUCUAGUGUUGAGCAUAGUGCUGAAUAUAAUAUUCUCUCAAUAAAUGUUGAAAAUGAAGUGUUUUUGAAUAUUGUAAUUGCCCUCUAUGACAUAAAUUUCGGAAAGGUGAAUGAGGAUUUCAUCCAAAUAUCCACUUACUUAAUCCUGUUUUUAGAGCAACUUUCUUCUUAGGGAAUCUAUUUGAUUAUUUUAGUUGCCCUUUUCUGUGACCUGGUGUAUCUCCUAGGCUCUUUUUUUUAAGGUUUCGGGGCAGAAUUAGAUGCAGGACUCCAUGUAUAGUUCAUUACCAUUUUGUUGAAUGUAGCACAAAACAAUGCUUUCAGUUUUGUUUUCCACAUUCUUAGCAAUGAGGCCUAGCAUUUUAUUGUUACUUGACUUUAGGAAACAGUCAACAACUCGUGGUUCUCUUUCUUGAAAUAAAACGUAGCUCCAAGCUCAUCUUCUUUUAAGUGUACUUCAGACUAACAAGCCUAAAUGCGUUAUCCAAAAUCAGUACAGAAUGAAACUCAUUUGCCAUACUUCUGGCCACUCACAUCACUUUGUGCAAUUUAUCUUUUUUUCAAUUUAGAUCCAUCUGCUUGGUGUUUACUACUCUGGAGAGCUUAAGGACAUCUCAGCCCAGUGACUUUUCUUAUAUGAGCCUGCUUUCAGACAGUCCAUGAAAGUUUUAAAUAAGACAAGUCCCCCAGCAGGAAUCCUUGAGGGCUCCUCUCUGGAAUCGGAAGAAUCCAUCUGGUAUCCUGGCACCAAGAGUAGUCAGCAGCCCUGGGUACUGGCCCCAGUUCUGACACUUACUAGUUGUUCGAGUCCAGGCAAGUCAUUUAAUUUUAUCUCUAAAAUGGUAUAAAUAACACCUGCCUCACCUCCCUUGCAGGGUUAUUCUGAGGAUUACGUGAGAUAAUGUGUGUGAAAGCACUCUGAAAAUGCUAAAGGACUGUGUAAAUAAGGGAUGUUAUUAAUAUUUCCAUCCAGAGGCUUGCCUCUUUAAACCACGGUUUCCUUAAGCCAGCUCUCUUCUUUCAUUCAGUUCAUUCCAUAGGUAUUCUUUAAGUGCCCACUUUACCCAAGAUAGAACUUUCUCCCCACUUUCUUGGUAAUUUAUUUGGGUAGGGCUUUUUUCAAUGUUUAAUAUCUACAUUGGUAGGAACUUUUUCAAAAAUGUAGCAUUCAUUCUUUCCAUGCUUAUUUAUCCCUCAAAGAAAUGCAGUCAAAUAGUGAAGCAUGAGACAUGCUCAAGCAUGUGGCUGCAAAGAUAGAAGACCAGAACACCAUCUCUGCCUGCAUCUCCCCACAGAAAGCAGGAGUGCCUUCUACCCUUAGCCUAGGAGAGACAGAAGGGAAGGGCCGGAGCAGGGCACAGCUGAGAGGACGGUGAGAAGGGGAUGAGGAGUAACUGUAUACAACCUCUCAGAGCCCAACAAGCAGUAUUAUAAUAAAUAGAUUUACUUACAUGAAAGCAGCUUAAGGCAAUCUCCUUUAAUUUAGCCUGUGGUCCAUUCAGCAAAGAAAAACUUCUGUGUUUAAAAGCCUGUGAUGAAGGUUUAUAGACACUGUUUCCAAAGGAAAAGUAAAAGGCAAACGAUUCUUGGGGAAGAGGGAAAAGGACAAUUUUUUAAAAUGAUUUAGCUGUACAGCAGGUUAUGAAGGAGGGAAAAGGAAGAGAUUAAAAUGGUUCGUUCCCUCCUCCUUCUGUGACUCAGAGAGUAAUCCUAAAAAUAAUCUUCAUCCCAGUAUGGAGAAGCUGAGCCGAGACUCACAUCUCCACAUUGCAAGUUCCAUGAUGGCCUUGGAGAGGAAAGGAACAAAAGGAGGAGGGAGAUAGGACACAGUAACUAUUAAAGAUAAUCCAGAAAAGACUUUACCUACUCAGAAGAGGUGAGGUGAAAUUAAAGGCCAGUCUAACUGUGAUGAAAUAGGCAUUUUCUGUUCUUGCCCUAUUCUGAAGUAUGUUGUGUCAGCAAGGAUGAAGCCUCAACUUGCCUUGUCACUAAUUCUUCUGGUGAUCUGUAUUUUACUCAUUCAAAGGAAUUUUUGUCUUUCAACAUCAUUCUUUCCUUGUAUCAGCAACAAGUGGCUCUUUUUUUAGGUAUGUCCUUAAUCACAUUUAAUUUAUGUAAGUAUAUUUUUUUAAGUUUUUUUAAUGUUGAAAGUGUUUCAAACUUACGGAAAAGUUGCACACAUAGCAUAAUGAACUUUUUUUUUUUACCUGAAUGAUUUGAGAGUGAGUUGCUGACAUGAUACCUGUGGUGGACAUUGAGAUGCAUUGACCUGAUGCCCUUCAAAGAAGGACUUGUUGCCCAGCUGUGGGGACUGUGGUCAGCACACAGCUGUCAGCUGUCAUUUCCUUCAGGGUUUGCCUCAUUGGCAGACAGCCACCUUGUCCAAGGAGAUGCCCCUUUCCUGGGUGGCCCAAAUUCAAUGGCGGAUCAAGGCAAGGAUAGAAAGGCCCGGCUAUUUCAGCCUUGUGCAGGACAACUUCAAUGGGCUAUUUCCACUCAAGAGCUCCCAGUGGGGUUAGCUGAGGCUUUAUCAGCCUGCAUCUCAGAUCAACUUCUCCCUCUGCCCAAGCUUGUUUUCUUUCCACCCCUUCCACAGAUGUUGAUCCCAAGAGCUCUCCCUAAUAAUUAUCCUGAACACUAAGGUCUGUCACAGAGUCUGCUUCCUGGAACACCCAAACUGCCACAGUUGGAGCCCAGAGAGGUCUGAGAAAGCAGAUGAUAAGAUGGGGUUUUGGAGCUGAUCACUCACCACCCAGCUGGUAAGAGGACCUCGUCUCAGUGACAGAUGGAGCACAGACAGUCCUUGGCACAAGGUGGCAGUACAGUUAUUAAAACCUUGACCAGUGGUGAAUUGGAAUGGUAUACUGGUGAAAACAUGUAUCAGCUGGUGCAAUAUUUGGAGGAAAUAGUAACUAUAAGGACAAUGGGAUAGGAUGGUUAUUGCUUAGCUCUGUUGAAGCUCUAGGAAAAGAAAACAGAAAGCUGAGAGAGGGACUAGCAGGCAACUGAAAGCCAAGUGUGAAAGCCAGAGGGUCUCUUUGAUAGCAUGUAAAGAGGCUUUCAUAACCUGCAGCGGGAGGGCAGAGAAAGCUGAGGACCAGACCGAACUAAAUCAUCGGUGUAGCCAAGCUCCAGAGAAGGUUAAACUACUAACUAAACUAGGUCUCCUAUGCCAAGGACAGGGCUGUGGUUAGAGACCCUGACACAUGGGAUGGGGACAUCUGAGUUGCCCCCAAAAUCCUGAAUUCCCAGAUGUCUGUUGACCCUCUGAGCCUGCAGAAGUGAGCCACAUUUUCCUACCAAGAGCUACACACUCCCUUUGCUUGAGACAAGGCCUCUCCCUACAAAACAACAUGUGACCCCCUCAGGAUCUGCCCCCACCUACCCUCCUGUCUACUAAAUCUAUGGUUAGGGUUAAGUGACAGCAUAACCCAGCUGGGGACUGUUCCACGGGAGGAUCUGGAGGACACACCAUCUACCAAAGCAACAAAGAAUGUGUUGAAGAAGGGGCACCAGAAUCAUUAUGAAGUUCAGUGGUGGCUCUCUUUUGCAGGCCAGACUGAUGGUAGGAGAUGCUGCUAUAAAACUGAGCUCCUUAUUAGCAAUGGAGAUAAUACAACCCAAAGAUAAUUGAGCCAGAUGGCAUCACGCAACCGUCAGAAACCAUGUGGACGCAAUUAUGAUGAGUGGCAAGAUCAAAGUGGCAACCAGGGGCACAUAACCUGCAGAGAGUUAUGGAGAUAGUUAAUAAAACAUGGUGUCACCUACUGAAAAAUAGCUGGAUAGCCAAUAAGGGUACUACUCAGUCUGUAUAAGCAAAAGAAAACAGAGGGUGAAGGGAAUGCAACUAUUUGGGAGCAAAGCUUUUGUAUACUGUUGAAAUUAAGUUGGUAUUAAUCUGAACUAGAUUGUUGUAAACUAAGAUGUUAAUUGUCAUCCCCAGGGCAACCAGUAAGAAAAUAACUCAAAAAAUAUAUAUAGUAAAAGAAAUGACAAGGGAAUUAAAAUAAUACAUUGGAAAAUAUCUUUUUAACACAAAAGAAGGCAACAGUAGAGGCAUAGAGGAACAAAAGAGACAUGGCAUAUAGAAAAGAAAGCAAAAUGGCAGAUGUAAAGCCCUCACAUAUAACGUGACUCAGCCAGUUGUCUCCACCUCUGUCACUGACCACACCAUCACUGGCACAAUGGAUACAUGAAGGAAGUGGCCGUGGUGGCAGAGAUUGAGGCUAUUCCAGAAACAAUAGCAUGGAUUCCCAUUUAUCAGGACUGAUCUAGUUAUUGCCACUGCCAAAUGUCCACCUGACAGCAAAGGAGAUCAGUGCUGAGCUCCUGGUAUGGCACCAUUCCUCAUCUUCCACAAGUUGACUACUUUGGAAUCCUUCUGCCCUGAAAGGGCCAGUGAUGAUUCAUUCAGGUAGAAAUGGACACAUAUUCUGAGUAAGAGUUUAAGUGUCUUACCUUCAGACCUCCCCCUGGGGUUGUACAAUGUUUGGUCCACCAGCAGGGGACCUCACAUAACAUUGCAUCAGACUAGGGGACCCAAUUUACAGCAAAAAAGGUGUGAGAGUGGACCCAUGACAAUGGCAUCUGCUGGUCCUACCACUUACUGCAGCACCCUAAAGCACCUGGCCUGACAGGGCAUUGGAAUGCCUUGCUGAAGGCAGAGCUGAAGUGUUAGCUCAGAUGCAGUGCUCUGUGAGUGCCAUCCUCUGGGAUACAUUAAACACAUUGCAUCAAAGAUCUGUCUAUGGUGCUGUGUCCCCAACAGAAAGAAUACAUGGGUCUGAGAAGCAAAAUAUGGAAGUAGGAGUGAUCCUGCUUAUCAUCACUCCCGAUGACCCCUUGGGGAAUUUAUGCUUCCCAUUCCUGCUGUUCCGGACUCUGCAGAGUUAGAGGGCUUGGUUCUUAAAAGGAGAAUAUUUCCACCAGAGGAUACAGCCAAGUCCCUUUGAAUUACUAGCUAGAACUGCUGCCUGGGCGCUCUGGGCUCCUAGCAUCCAGGGACAAGUGGGGUGGAGGUAGAGGAACAAUCUUGGCGGAAGUAUUAACCCUGCUCAUCAGAAGGAGUUAGGUCUGCUGUUAUCCACUCAGGGUAGGGAGGGAUGUUUCAGCACCCAGACGACCAACUUGGAUGCUUUUUGUGUUCCCUUGCCCAGUUGCAAUGGUAAAUGGAUAAUGCAGUGAGGACAUGGUGACCAGAAACUCAGACCUCUCUGGGAUAAGAAUCUAGAUCAUGCUCCCGGGUAAGACCCUGAGGCCAGGAGAAAUGGUAGCUGAGAAUAAGAGGAAUUUAGAAAGGAUGAUCGAGGAGGGAGGCUGUCAGUUUCCUUUGCAGCCCCAAGACCAGCUGCAGCAGAAGAGGCUGUAGUUUGUCCUACAGACGUUCCUCUUUUAAGCUUCCCCAAGAGGAGGGGCUCAUCAGAAACCCGGAGAAGCUGCUAGUCAACAUAUACAAAGACAUGGAUCCAAGACCAGCAAAGGGAAUGAACAUAGAGAUGAGCCACAGAGAUUUCCCUUUGCAGAAGGACUUCUUCUCUCAGCUGCUUGGAGUACUGUCAGCAGAUAGCCUUCAGUUAUCAGCUCCUACAGCCGCAGAGAGCGCCUCAUCAAAGCUCAUGCCCUUUGGGGAGCAGCCCACAUCCAAUGACCAAUCAAGGCAUAGUUUUAAAGCCCAGCCAUUUCAGCCUGGUUUGGGACAAUGCUGAAGGGCCAUUUCAGCUCCAGAGCUCCUCAUGGGGUCACUUGAGGCUGCUGGGCCUUCCUUACAUGCAGCUUGUUGUUUCCUUCUGUCUAAGCCUGCUUCCUUCUCUUCCCUUCCACAGGUGUUGACCCCAAAGGCACUUCCUAAUAAACAUCCUGGACACUAAACUCUGACUCAGAAUCUUCUUCCUGCAGAGCCUAAGCUGUGGAGAUGAAAUGCCCCAUCAUCCCAAAUACAUUAGUGUGUAUUUCUUACUAAUGAGAACAUUCAUCCAGAUAACCCCAGUACAAAUAUCAAAAUCAGGAAUUUACAUUGAUAUGUUAGUAUCUAAUCCUCAGAUCCCAUUCAGAUUUUGUCAAUGGUCCCAAUAAUGUCCUUCUUAUAGUAAAAGGAUCCUGUCCAGAAAUUAUGCAUCAUAUUUAGUUGUCUCUUCAGUCUUCUUCAAUCUUGAAUGGUUCCCUAGUUUUUCCUUUACUUUCAUGACCUUGACACUCUUUAAGAUUACAGGCCACUUAUUUUUGUAGAAUGUCCCUCAAUUUGGGUUUGUCUGAGGUUUUUUCAUGAUUAGAUUCAGGUUAUGCAUCUUUGGCAGAACUAUUAGAGAAGUGACGCCAUGUUCUUCUCAUUGCAUCCAAUCAGGUGGCACAUGACUUCAAUUUGUCCCAUCAGUGGUGAUGUUCACUUGAUUAAGGUGGUGUCUGCCAGGCUUCUCCACUGCAAAGUUACUCUUUUUCCUGCUUGUAAUUAAAUACUUUGGGGAAAUACUUUGAAGCUAUGUAAAUAUCCCAUUCUUCAUCAAAUUUCCUAUUUAUUCUUCCAUUUAUUUACAUCCA